Salvia miltiorrhiza (redroot sage) is the source of this 602-nucleotide long non-coding RNA. RefSeq lists it as uncharacterized. Lineage: Eukaryota; Viridiplantae; Streptophyta; Magnoliopsida; Lamiales; Lamiaceae. The record is from RefSeq and is a predicted model, not a curated record. The transcript has 2 exons.
GGUUAUGUAGGUAUAUGAGAAGAGGCCCAAGUUGAACUCUUUUAAAUCAGUAGAUUAACCUACUCUUAUUAGUGCAAUUGUGCAAAUUGGAUUAUUAAAGUAGAUUAGCUGCUCAAGCAACACGUGGCUCUACACUCAUUACUCAGCUGUUUUCCAAACCGACUUAGAGAUAGUAUAAGUAUUUUCCUUCUCACGAUCAGCCAUUUUUUUUUACCCUGCAACUCGGUCCAGUUCACCAAUCGUCCCCAAUAAUCUUACACGGCAGUUCAAUUCACCUUCGUCAAGCAGGUUAAGCUGUGAUGCAGAUGGAUGUCAGCAGAGCAAAGCUUUUGAUAUAUAAGUACUAAAUUAGGCUCAGGAUUCCAUGUCUUCAUACAUGUAAUCCACUUAAGCUAUUCCGCUGCAACGCUUAGUGCGUUUUACUUUAUUGAUGUGUUGCAAAGAUUUCAAACUAAUAGCUUACAGAAUUAUGUCACUCGAUACUUAGACAACUUGUCGUUGUGUAUUGCGAGUUGUUUGCUUUUGAGUUUUAGAAAAGAUUGUUUAUGAUUACCAAAUAUUUUGGUAAAUUAUUGUUGAAGCAGAUUAGUGAUUUUUAUUGA